GCUUGGUGGAUCAGUGGCGAACGGGUGAGUAACACGUGAGCAACCUGCCCUGGACUCUGGGAUAAGCGCUGGAAACGGUGUCUAAUACUGGAUAUGAGCCUCUUCCGCAUGGUGGGGGUUGGAAAGAUUUUUCGGUCUGGGAUGGGCUCGCGGCCUAUCAGCUUGUUGGUGAGGUAAUGGCUCACCAAGGCGUCGACGGGUAGCCGGCCUGAGAGGGUGACCGGCCACACUGGGACUGAGACACGGCCCAGACUCCUACGGGAGGCAGCAGUGGGGAAUAUUGCACAAUGGGCGGAAGCCUGAUGCAGCAACGCCGCGUGAGGGAUGACGGCCUUCGGGUUGUAAACCUCUUUUAGCAGGGAAGAAGCGUGAGUGACGGUACCUGCAGAAAAAGCGCCGGCUAACUACGUGCCAGCAGCCGCGGUAAUACGUAGGGCGCAAGCGUUAUCCGGAAUUAUUGGGCGUAAAGAGCUCGUAGGCGGUUUGUCGCGUCUGCUGUGAAAUCCCGAGGCUCAACCUCGGGCCUGCAGUGGGUACGGGCAGACUAGAGUGCGGUAGGGGAGAUUGGAAUUCCUGGUGUAGCGGUGCGAAUGCGCAGAUAUCAGGAGGAACACCGAUGGCGAAGGCAGAUCUCUGGGCCGUAACUGACGCUGAGGAGCGAAAGGGUGGGGAGCAAACAGGCUUAGAUACCCUGGUAGUCCACCCCGUAAACGUUGGGAACUAGUUGUGGGGACCAUUCCACGGUUUCCGUGACGCAGCUAACGCAUUAAGUUCCCCGCCUGGGGAGUACGGCCGCAAGGCUAAAACUCAAAGGAAUUGACGGGGACCCGCACAAGCGGCGGAGCAUGCGGAUUAAUUCGAUGCAACGCGAAGAACCUUACCAAGGCUUGACAUACACCAGAACACCGUAGAAAUACGGGACUCUUUGGACACUGGUGAACAGGUGGUGCAUGGUUGUCGUCAGCUCGUGUCGUGAGAUGUUGGGUUAAGUCCCGCAACGAGCGCAACCCUCGUUCUAUGUUGCCAGCACGUAAUGGUGGGAACUCAUGGGAUACUGCCGGGGUCAACUCGGAGGAAGGUGGGGAUGACGUCAAAUCAUCAUGCCCCUUAUGUCUUGGGCUUCACGCAUGCUACAAUGGCCGGUACAAAGGGCUGCAAUACCGUGAGGUGGAGCGAAUCCCAAAAAGCCGGUCCCAGUUCGGAUUGAGGUUUGCAA
Molecule: ribosomal RNA, 1216 nt
Filed under: Microbacterium testaceum
Lineage: Bacteria; Bacillati; Actinomycetota; Actinomycetes; Micrococcales; Microbacteriaceae
Description: bacterial SSU rRNA
Rfam family: Bacterial small subunit ribosomal RNA
Source: RNAcentral